Molecule: transfer RNA, 65 nt
Filed under: Dindymus rubiginosus
Lineage: Eukaryota; Metazoa; Arthropoda; Insecta; Hemiptera; Pyrrhocoridae
Description: tRNA-Thr
Rfam family: tRNA
About the family: Transfer RNA (tRNA) molecules are approximately 80 nucleotides in length. Their secondary structure includes four short double-helical elements and three loops (D, anti-codon, and T loops).
Source: RNAcentral
GUUUUUAUAGUUUAAAAAAAAAACAAUGAUUUUGUAAAUCAAAGAUAGGAUUUUCCUUUAAAACA